CACUGACCUAGUUAGGGGAUUGAUAAACUACCCAGAAUGAGAUGUGGCAUAGUUGAGUUGGGAAAAUGUAAUCUAUAUAUCUCAAAAAAGAAAAAGAAUGAGAUUAAAUUCCUAUACUUGAAGUUGAACUUCCACACUAGUACGUCUGGUGAACCAGGGGCCAGACUGUGGGUGCCUCAAGAAACGUUUGGCCAAUUUCUCAAAAGUGAUUUGUUCAAGAACCAG
Non-coding RNA from Pelobates cultripes (western spadefoot toad), 225 nucleotides. The record is from the annotation of a GenBank genome assembly. NCBI's taxonomy places the organism in Eukaryota, Metazoa, Chordata, Amphibia, Anura, Pelobatidae.